RNAcentral lists this ribosomal RNA (587 nucleotides) under uncultured Acidovorax sp. RNAcentral describes it as "bacterial SSU rRNA". It matches the Rfam family "Bacterial small subunit ribosomal RNA", at positions 102 to 685 of the family's 1533-position model. The record is from RNAcentral. Lineage: Bacteria; Pseudomonadati; Pseudomonadota; Betaproteobacteria; Burkholderiales; Comamonadaceae.
ACGGGUGAGUAAUACAUCGGAACGUGCCCGAUCGUGGGGGAUAACGGAGCGAAAGCUUUGCUAAUACCGCAUACGAUCUACGGAUGAAAGCAGGGGACCGCAAGGCCUUGCGCGGACGGAGCGGCCGAUGGCAGAUUAGGUAGUUGGUGGGAUAAAAGCUUACCAAGCCGACGAUCUGUAGCUGGUCUGAGAGGACGACCAGCCACACUGGGACUGAGACACGGCCCAGACUCCUACGGGAGGCAGCAGUGGGGAAUUUUGGACAAUGGGCGAAAGCCUGAUCCAGCCAUGCCGCGUGCAGGAUGAAGGCCUUCGGGUUGUAAACUGCUUUUGUACGGAACGAAAAGACUCUUUCUAAUAAAGAGGGUCCAUGACGGUACCGUAAGAAUAAGCACCGGCUAACUACGUGCCAGCAGCCGCGGUAAUACGUAGGGUGCGAGCGUUAAUCGGAAUUACUGGGCGUAAAGCGUGCGCAGGCGGUUAUGCAAGACAGAUGUGAAAUCCCCGGGCUCAACCUGGGAACUGCAUUUGUGACUGCAUAGCUAGAGUACGGUAGAGGGGGAUGGAAUUCCGCGUGUAGCAGUGAA